UACGUAGGGGGGCAAGCGUUGUCCGGAUUUAUUGGGCGUAAAGAGCGUGUAGGCGGCUAGGUAGGUCCGUUGUGAAAACUCGAGGCUCAACCUCGAGACGCCGAUGGAAACCAUCUGGCUAGAGUCCGGAAGAGGAGAGUGGAAUUCCUGGUGUAGCGGUGAAAUGCGCAGAUAUCAGGAGGAACACCGGUGGCGAAGGCGGGUCUCUGGGCCGAUACUGACGCUGAGGAGCGAAAGCGUGGGGAGCGAACAGG
Molecule: ribosomal RNA, 254 nt
Filed under: uncultured bacterium
Lineage: Bacteria
Description: partial 16S ribosomal RNA
Rfam family: Bacterial small subunit ribosomal RNA
Source: RNAcentral